This 208-nucleotide unclassified non-coding RNA is filed under the name Hevea brasiliensis (rubber tree). Lineage: Eukaryota; Viridiplantae; Streptophyta; Magnoliopsida; Malpighiales; Euphorbiaceae. The record is from RNAcentral.
GUAAAUUUGAGGAUAUCGUGGAUGCGUACUUGGCAUAUCUUCAAGUAACAGUAGUUAAUCCUGCCAUGGAUAGAGCAUUGACACUUCUACAUAAAUUUGCGGUUGAUGCACGAAGUGGAAGAAUUUUGAAGGACAAGCUAUGUUUUGGUGCUCCAUGGAGACACCCUCCAUCUUCUGAUGAUCCUACAUUGUGUCGUCAAUGGGCUAA